AAUAGAUACCCGGGUAGUCCACGCCGUAAACGAUGAGUGCUAAGUGUUGGAGGGUUUCCGCCCUUCAGUGCUGCAGCAAACGCAUUAAGCACUCCGCCUGGGGAGUACGACCGCAAGGUUGAAACUCAAAGGAAUUGACGGGGGCCCGCACAAGCGGUGGAGCAUGUGGUUUAAUUCGAAGCAACGCGAAGAACCUUACCAGGUCUUGACAUCCUUUGACCACUCUAGAGAUAGAGCUUCCCCUUCGGGGGCAAAGUGACAGGUGGUGCAUGGUUGUCGUCAGCUCGUGUCGUGAGAUGUUGGGUUAAGUCCCGCAACGAGCGCGACCCUUAUUGUUAGUUGCCAUCAUUUAGUUGGGCACCCUAGCGAGACUGCCGGUGACAAACCGGAGGAAGGUGGGGAUGACGUCAAAUCAUCAUGCCCCUUAUGACCUGGGCUACACACGUGCUACAAUGGGAAGUACAACGAGUUGCGAAGUCGCGAGGCUAAGCUAAUCUCUUAAAGCUUCUCUCAGUUCGGAUUGUAGGCUGCAAC
RNAcentral lists this ribosomal RNA (534 nucleotides) under uncultured bacterium. RNAcentral's name for it is "bacterial SSU rRNA". It matches the Rfam family "Bacterial small subunit ribosomal RNA", at positions 777 to 1311 of the family's 1533-position model. The record is from RNAcentral.